Heterocephalus glaber (naked mole-rat) is the source of this 2565-nucleotide long non-coding RNA. Lineage: Eukaryota; Metazoa; Chordata; Mammalia; Rodentia; Bathyergidae. The record is from Ensembl.
GGCAGGGCCUUAGCAGGUCGGCAGAGGCCAUGUUAAUGCGGGGCAGUCUCAUCUCUCUGCGGGGCGCGACAGGGAGGUGCUGGAAAAGAGAAGCACAUAAAGGAAAAGAAGGUGAGAGGAACUAUACCUCCCAAGAGGUGCUGAAGGUCCUGGAAUAACGCGAUGAAGCCGUCAGUGCCAAGGAAGCCACCUGGCCCAGCAGAAGCUUCUGUAGCCACUUUGGUCUCUGGCACCCUGGACCAGGGAGGUGGGAUGGGCGGAAUGCAGGAGGGGCAGGCAAACGGAACUGACGCAAGGCGCCGCCAUGCCUUUUGAGGGCGGUGACGACGCCAGGCUGGCCAUGCUGGCUACGGGCACGUGAGUGGAGGCGGCGUUGUGAACCACGGGGUGGGGAAGAUUUGGCGGCCCUGAGGCCGAGAGGCGCUGGGAGGAUGAGUAGCUUAGGGGAGGGGGACGGCCUACAUAGACCAGAGGACAGAGGUUGUCCAGUGGCCCUAUCUGAGCGCAGACAAGGAGCCUUCCCCGGGAACGGUCGUGUCUGACCCGAGGCAAAUCCCAGACAGCCUUGUCUUCUUCGUCCAGACCCCCUGAGAUGCUUCCUUUGGCGUGGGUCUACCCUGGACCCCGGGCGCGGUGGGGAGGUGUCUGCGCGGCGGAGCGGGGCCCCGACGCUCACCCGGCCUCCUGCAUGAUCGCGUUCUCCACGCCUGCGGGUGAGGGCUGCCUCCAGCUUGACGGCGGGAGGGGGGUCGCUGGCAUCCCUCGCUUCUUGGGGGACUUUGCUCUGUUGUCACAUCCUCCUGGCACCAGUUUCCCCACCUUUCUCCCCUCCUAAGGGCCCUGUCACCUCACCUCUGGCCCGCAUGUAGGGGACAGGUCUCCCUAAUGUUAAACUUCUGCAUUGAGGUGGGGGCCCCCCCAGCCGACAGGACUUUCUCUCGAGGGGAGGAGUCCGGAGGCUCCGGCUCCCUGCUUCUCCACUGUUGAGUAACUGAGCCCACAGUCUGCAGGCUCUGGCAGGGAACUGCGUGUGACUCUUGCCUCCUCCUUUUUGUCCCUGCCUCUUCUGAUGGGAGAAUCACCACCCACUCAACCCCGAUUUCCAGUGUUCCAGUGUUCAGGCCUGGGCUGCCCCGGUAGCCCUUUUCCCUGUUCCCUUGGUGGCAGGAGGGCCUGGGACCCAGAGAAGUGAGAGCCCAGGCCCGCAUGCCAGUCACCUCCCUGCUUGGUUUCCUUCUUGGAGGCCUGUGGGGGCCACGGGCACUGCCCAGUGCUGUGGGGUUUGGGGCUCAGGAAGAAGCAGUUCCAGCCCCACUCCCCCUUGUCUGGCUGAGUGCCUUCUGGCCAGUGUCUGAAGCUCUCUGAGCCCCUCCCAUCUGGGUGGGAUCAUGAAUCUCGCCUCUGAAGGCAGCAGGAUAGCAGUGAGGAUUAAGCGCAGGUUCUGACACCCAGCUGGGCCUGGGUUUCCGACUGUAAAGUGGGGUGACAACAGCUCCCCCCUCGGGGAGGUGGAGGGAGGAUGAGAAGGCCGCUCAUGCCCCAGGUCUGCCUUCCUCCCGAGGCCUGAGUGGUCCCUGAGUUCCACAGCCCCCGAGAGGCGGGAAGUGAGGUGUCAGGGUGGGCCCUGCACAGGUGCUCCGGACUCAGUGAGGAAUGGGAAGAAAGGCACAGAGAGAGUCAGGCAGCAGGCCCGGGUCACACAGCAGGUUGGAGUCAGGGCAGGAACCGAGCCCCUGGCCUCUUGCCCUUUCUCCCAUUGUCACUCCUGUCCUGGGCACACAGAUUCCUACAUUUGGGGAGUCCACAGUGUGACAGGAGGCAGGCAGUGAAACAGCUGCCACUAUCUCUGGGGACGUGAGCUGGGAUGGCGGGACCCCAGGCAUUGCAAGGACUCCUGGGAGUGGUCUAGAGCCCAGGGGAGGCACCAGGACAGGCCUUCGGAAGUUUGGAUGCUUCUUGGUGCAUUUCCAGCACAGAGCAGCUCCCUGGCCAUUUUUUUGCCUUUAUUCAACCCCUGCACUCAGUCCCCUCAGUCACAGACCCCAGUCCUGUCCCAAGGGGCGUGGGAAUCGAGUGGCCCCGGAGACUGGCUCCAUCCACAGUUGGGGGAAGUCUCAUCCACACUAGAUGAGUGAAGGAUUGGCAGCUUUAUCCCAGGGGAUCUGGCAAGGGCCAGGGUUGGAUCAGAACCAAGACUUUGUGGGCCGUGUUCGAGCUGGGCUGGGCCGUCCCCAGAGAUGCAGUGCCUGCCACACAUGCAACUUCAAAUGUCCCGGAAGACAGACGACACUCACUUUAGCCAGUGUAGCUAAAAUGUGGUCCUUUCCACAUGGAAUCAGUGUUGUUGCCCAGAUUGCUACUCACUCAUUUCCCCUUCUACCUGUUUGUACUGUGUGCAAAACUACAUAGCUCGGAUGCCCAGGCACAUGCUGAGGACAUGGGACAGGCAGGGCCCAGAGGGGAGGAGGUGGGCCGAGGGGCGGGUGUCGGGUUUGGCAAGGAGCAGAAGCGGGAGUGAGUGACACCCAGGGCCGGGCCUCAGCCCCUCUCCUGCUCUGCCCACAG